RNAcentral lists this ribosomal RNA (264 nucleotides) under uncultured bacterium. RNAcentral describes it as "partial 16S ribosomal RNA". It matches the Rfam family "Bacterial small subunit ribosomal RNA", at positions 793 to 1055 of the family's 1533-position model. The record is from RNAcentral.
GUCCUAGCCGUAAACGAUGGGCACUUGGUGUCGGGGGUAUUGAGUCCCUUGGUGCCGGAGUUAACACGUUAAGUGCCCCGCCUGGGGAGUACGGUCGCAAGACUGAAACUCAAAGGAAUUGACGGGGCCCGCACAAGCGGUGGAGCAUGUGGUUCAAUUCGACGCAACGCGAAGAACCUUACCGGGGCUCGAACGGUAACUGCAAUCCCUUGAAAGGGGGAGUUCUCUUCGGAGACGGUUACCGAGGUGCUGCAUGGCUGUCGU